This 231-nucleotide unclassified non-coding RNA is filed under the name fungal sp. RNAcentral describes it as "partial contains small subunit ribosomal RNA, internal transcribed spacer 1, and 5.8S ribosomal RNA". The stretch from base 1 to 47 matches the Rfam family "Eukaryotic small subunit ribosomal RNA", at positions 1785 to 1831 of the family's 1831-position model. Lineage: Eukaryota; Fungi. The record is from RNAcentral.
AAAGUCGUAACAAGGUAACCGUAGGUGAACCUGCGGUUGGAUCAUUAACAAAUAUUAGAAGACCUUCAAGGUCUCUCUAAACAUCUUGUGAAUUAAAUAUGUCUCUAGCAUGAUUUAAUUAUUAUUAGUUGGAUUAUGCUGGAAUUAAACUAUACUUUAUUUAACCUUUUGUCUAUAAAUUCAUUUAAAAAGUAAUUAAAACAACUUUUGACAACGGAUCUCUAGGCUCUU